GAUGAACGCUGGCGGCGUGCCUAAUACAUGCAAGUCGAGCGAACGGACGCGAAGCUUGCUUCUCUGAUGUUAGCGGCGGACGGGUGAGUAACACGUGGAUAACCUACCUAUAUGACUGGGAUAACUUCGGGACACCGGAGCUAAUGCCGGAUAAUAUUUUGAACCGCAUGGUUCAAAAGUGAAAGACGGUCUUGCUGUCUCUUAUAGAUGGAUCCGCGCUGCAUUAGCUAGUUGGUAAGGUAACGGCUUACCAAGGCAACGAUGCAUAGCCGACCUGAGAGGGUGAUCGGCCACACUGGAACUGAGACACGGUCCAGACUCCUACGGAAGGCACCAGUACGGAAUCUGCCGCAAGGGGCGAAAGCCUGACCAAGCAACGCCGCGUGAGGGAGGAAGGUCUUCGGAUCGUAAAACUCUGUUAUUAGGGAAUAACAUAUGUGUAAGUAACUGUGCACAUCUUGACGGUACCUAAGCAGAAAGCCACGGCUAACUACGUG
Molecule: ribosomal RNA, 497 nt
Filed under: uncultured bacterium
Lineage: Bacteria
Description: partial 16S ribosomal RNA
Rfam family: Bacterial small subunit ribosomal RNA
Source: RNAcentral